GACGAACGCUGGCGGCGUGCUUAACACAUGCAAGUCGAACGGAAAGGCCCUGCUUUUGUGGGGUGCUCGAGUGGCGAACGGGUGAGUAACACGUGAGUAACCUGCCCUUGUCUUUGGGAUAACUUCAGGAAACUGGGGCUAAUACCGGAUAGGAGCUCCUGCUGCAUGGUGGGGGUUGGAAAGUUUCGGCGGUUGGGGAUGGACUGGCGGCUUAUCAGCUUGUUGGUGGGGUAGUGGCUUACCAAGGCUUUGACGGGUAGCCGGCCUGAGAGGGUGACCGGCCACAUGGGGACUGCGAGACGGCCCAGACUCCUACGGGAGGCAGCAGUGGGGAAUAUUGCACAAUGGGCCGAAGCCUGAUGCAGCAACGCCGCGUGCGGGAUGACGGCCUUCGGGUUGUAAACCGCUUUCGCCUGUGACGAAGCGUGAGUGACGGUAAUGGGUAAAGAAGCACCGGCUAACUACGUG
This 468-nucleotide ribosomal RNA is filed under the name uncultured bacterium. RNAcentral describes it as "partial 16S ribosomal RNA". It matches the Rfam family "Bacterial small subunit ribosomal RNA", at positions 28 to 507 of the family's 1533-position model. The record is from RNAcentral.